CCUACGGGUGGCAGCAGUGAGGAAUAUUGGUCAAUGGGCGAGAGCCUGAACCAGCCAAGUCGCGUGAGGGAGUACUGCCCUAUGGGUUGUAAACCUCUUUUGACGGGGAGCAAAAGCCGGACGUGUCCGGCUGUUAUAGUACCCGAAGAAAAAACAUCGGCUAACUCCGUGCCAGCAGCCGCGGUAAUACGUAGGGGGCGAGCGUUAUCCGGAUUCACUGGGUGUAAAUGGAGCGUAGACGGCCAUGCAAGCCAGGGGUGAAAGCCCGGGCCCCAAACCCGGGACUGCCCUUGGCAAUGCAUGGCUUGAGUGCGGGAGGGGAGGGCGGAAUUCCUGGUGUAGCGGUGAAAUGCGUAGAUAUCAGGAGGAACACCGGCGGCGAAGGCGGCCUGCUGGACUGCGACUGACGUUGAGGCUCGAAAGCGUGGGGAGCGAACAGGAUUAGAUACCCUGGUAGUC
Molecule: ribosomal RNA, 459 nt
Filed under: uncultured bacterium
Lineage: Bacteria
Description: partial 16S ribosomal RNA
Rfam family: Bacterial small subunit ribosomal RNA
Source: RNAcentral